UACUCACUUCAUGAUUUUAUGUAAAGAAUAUAUUUAAAUUAUUUCCUCACAUUUUUUAAAGAGGCCAGGUAUGGUGAAGAGAUAAUUCAUUUUUUAUUCAAAAUUUCAUUUUCCAUGCAUUUGUACAAUGUACAGGGAGUCUGUAUGCACCUGAGGUGAGCGUCAGAUUUAAUUUUGAAGGUUGAUUACUUUCAGAUGUUGUGAUGAAGAUUGUUGAAAGAGAUUAUCAACAUAGAACCAAUCCAUAUGAAUGUGCAAGUCAGGACUUGUACAACACCUGAGUACCCAGAUGACUGUUGAACUAAUUGGUGAACAAGAAAAGAUGUCAGAGAGGGGAAUCCAAUACAGUUGUCAAGAAUAUAUACUGUUAUCAAUGAUAUGAUCAAAAAUUUGUAAACUUGUAGUGAUUUAGAAUAUCUAAUCUCUAAUAUAACUCUUCAUUACUUAAUUGUUCACACAUUAUCAUCUUAUUUGUAUAUUAAUUGCCCCCUCUUAUAUAACUCCCUGCUGAUCCUAAUGACCUGUGUAUUGACUCUUGAUCUUAAGGAUCUUAUAAUGUGCUCCUGAUCGUCAGGAGCAGAUCUUGAGUAUAUCUAUAGUGCGACAGAAUUUUAGAAUAAGAUAGGAAGAUGGAAAUAUAGAAGACUUAGUAGAUAGAAAUGUUAGAGAUAGAUAAAGCUACAUACUUACUUGGAAUAUUACCUUAUAUUUCUCGGAUUUAUAUGUACAUGUGAAUAUUUUACUUGGAUUUUAUUUUUUGUGAAUCAUUUUUCCUGAAUGUUUCUAUUUGUGAUGUGCUGUGUAAAUAAACUGUAGACUAGAAUUUCGGCAUCUAUUUUCAAGAUAUGAGGAACAAGGAUAAAUUGAUUUAUAAAUGCAAACUGAGAUUAUGAAAUGUGUUGUAAGACUGCCCGGUGGGGCGCUACAAGCUAACUAGGAAAUAUCUUGGAGAUUUAUAGAUGAACAUGCAAGCAUUCAUGAUUUUGUAUGUUAUUCAGCCAGAGAGUUUUUGCACAAAUUCAAUUUUCAGUACAGUAAUUUAAACUGGAUGUGUAAUUUUCAGUACAGUUAUGUAAAAUGAAUAUGUUACUUAUUAUGAUUGUCAGUUUCUCAACAGGACAUAAUUGUAGUUUAUUUAUAUGCAGAUUUGCAGAACAAACCACACAGAACUUUUUUUCUCUUUGUGCAUCAUGAUCAUACACUUGUAAACCUUUUACACCACCAUGAUUACAUAUUUUAAAAUUUAUUAUGUUGACGUGUAAAUCGAGCACACACAUGAAAAAGUGUACGCGUAUAGCUGGAUACAUUACAUAUGCAAACAUACAUCUACCAUAACCUAUUACAUAUUUUCCAAGGUGUGUGAAGUCGAGCACAUACAUGAAAAUGUGUGAAGCUGGACACAUACACAAAUACACAUGCAUCUGCCACAACCUAUUACAUAUUUUCCAAGGUGUGUGAAGUCGAGCACAUACAUGAAAGUGUGUGAAGCUGGACACAUACACAAAUACACAUGCAUCUGCCACAACCUAUUACAUAUUUUCCAAGGUGUGUGAAGUCGAGCACAUACAUGAAAGUGUGUGAAGCUGGACACAUACACAAAUACACAUGCAUCUGCCACAACCUAUUACAUAUUUUCCAAGGCGUGUGAAGCCAAGCACAUACAUGAAAAUAUGUGAAGCUGGACACAUAUGCAAACACACUAACAUUUACCACAGACAUAAAAACAUAAUCUAAACUUAAUCAAGCACAGACAGGCUCACGGGGUGAAGCUGGACUCGUACAUGAUCUCAUGCAUUUUGCAAACUGCAUCCUCGCAUAUAUUCUAUUAGAUUUUUCACCAUUUUUUGAGUUUGUGAAUAUGUAAAAUGCAUCAUUUUGCAUUACAAGUUGAAGAUGUUAUUAGCCUGUAUAUAAGUGCAAAUCAAAUAGCCUUUUAUGUAAUUUUUUUCCACAUUCUAUUUAAACUGCAAAGUUUAUUUUAUAAAUGUACAUGCACCAUUAAGAAUAAAUAAUGUACCGGUAUUAUAUUUUAAAGUGAAAUGAGACCUCCAUUUCAAAAGCAGAAAUGUGAAAUUUAUACUUAUCAUCUGUAUUAUUUUUUUCUAUUUUUUUCUCACAUGUAUCUGAAUGUUUAAAGGAAAACAAAAGACAAAGAUAGCUCAAUAUAAUGUUUAUAUUCAAGGUUAUAACUGGAUAUUGUUUGUGCUGUAUAUCUGACUCAUCAUAUGAUGAGAAGCAAAAAUGCAGAAUAUUUUAGAUCAUUUUUGUUUGGAAAAUGAAAAUUAUCAAUAUGCCAAUUUUUCCCAUUGUUAUAUUAUUAAUUACUCUAUCAUUAAUAUCAAUGUACAUAUUAAAGAUCUAUGCCAUCCAAUUCAGAGAUUUGUAGGCAAUCCUGGUGCAGAUAAUAUUUUUUUCCUGUGUUUUGUAGUAUAGCGGGAACACAUUGUAUGUGAGGAACCUAUAUUAAUUGUUUUGGUUGUAUAUGUGGGCAUGGCCAAAGGAAGGCCAAUGAGAAAUGAGUAUUCAGUAAGGUGUUCAAAUCAUUCUAAGCCAGUGCUCUUCAAUAAACACAGGUUUUUUUGCUUUAUAUAUAAUCUAUAUAUCAUAUUUGUAUAAAUAUAGUGGUAAUGGAAAUAACAAAACUGUUGAAAUGUAUUUUAAUUUGGAUUUUUUCAUACAUGCAAAUAUUAUAGGAUGUUCCUGCAUUUUUAACUAUUGCACCGAAUGCACGUCCGGCAUUCUCCCUUGAGACAUUAUUUACAUAGCGACGGACACAGGUUUUCCAUAGUAAACCAUCUAUGGUUUUUGCCUGGGCGGUUUUUAAUGUCAGUGAUAGAGAUACUAUUUAUUAAAUGUAAAAUAUUUUACAAAUGCAUUGCAGUGCUUUAUUGUUUCACAUUCAAUGUAAUGUAUGUUAAAUAUUUAUGUAUUGUUACAUUUAUCAAAAUAAACGCCAGCUGCUCCAACUAAGCUAACCUGGCUUACAGCA
Long non-coding RNA from Saccostrea cuccullata (small rock oyster), 2989 nucleotides. RefSeq lists it as uncharacterized. The transcript is spliced from 2 exons. NCBI's taxonomy places the organism in Eukaryota, Metazoa, Mollusca, Bivalvia, Ostreida, Ostreidae. The record is from RefSeq and is a predicted model, not a curated record.